AAAUUGAAGAGUUUGAUCAUGGCUCAGAUUGAACGCUGGCGGCAGGCCUAACACAUGCAAGUCGAACGGUAACAGGAAGCAGCUUGCUGCUUCGCUGACGAGUGGCGGACGGGUGAGUAAUGUCUGGGAAACUGCCUGAUGGAGGGGGAUAACUACUGGAAACGGUGGCUAAUACCGCAUAACGUCGCAAGACCAAAGAGGGGGACCUUCGGGCCUCUUGCCAUCAGAUGUGCCCAGAUGGGAUUAGCUAGUUGGUGAGGUAACGGCUCACCAAGGCGACGAUCCCUAGCUGGUCUGAGAGGAUGACCAGCCACACUGGAACUGAGACACGGUCCAGACUCCUACGGGAGGCAGCAGUGGGGAAUAUUGCACAAUGGGCGCAAGCCUGAUGCAGCCAUGCCGCGUGUAUGAAGAAGGCCUUAGGGUUGUAAAGUACUUUCAGCGGGGAGGAAGGUGUUGUGGUUAAUAACCACAGCAAUUGACGUUACCCGCAGAAGAAGCACCGGCUAACUCCGUGCCAGCAGCCGCGGUAAUACGGAGGGUGCAAGCGUUAAUCGGAAUUACUGGGCGUAAAGCGCACGCAGGCGGUCUGUCAAGUCGGAUGUGAAAUCCCCGGGCUCAACCUGGGAACUGCAUUCGAAACUGGCAGGCUUGAGUCUUGUAGAGGGGGGUAGAAUUCCAGGUGUAGCGGUGAAAUGCGUAGAGAUCUGGAGGAAUACCGGUGGCGAAGGCGGCCCCCUGGACAAAGACUGACGCUCAGGUGCGAAAGCGUGGGGAGCAAACAGGAUUAGAUACCCUGGUAGUCCACGCCGUAAACGAUGUCUACUUGGAGGUUGUGCCCUUGAGGCGUGGCUUCCGGAGCUAACGCGUUAAGUAGACCGCCUGGGGAGUACGGCCGCAAGGUUAAAACUCAAAUGAAUUGACGGGGGCCCGCACAAGCGGUGGAGCAUGUGGUUUAAUUCGAUGCAACGCGAAGAACCUUACCUGGUCUUGACAUCCACAGAACUUUCCAGAGAUGGAUUGGUGCCUUCGGGAACUGUGAGACAGGUGCUGCAUGGCUGUCGUCAGCUCGUGUUGUGAAAUGUUGGGUUAAGUCCCGCAACGAGCGCAAC
RNAcentral lists this ribosomal RNA (1112 nucleotides) under Salmonella enterica. Its description in RNAcentral is "bacterial SSU rRNA". It matches the Rfam family "Bacterial small subunit ribosomal RNA", at positions 1 to 1102 of the family's 1533-position model. The record is from RNAcentral. Lineage: Bacteria; Pseudomonadati; Pseudomonadota; Gammaproteobacteria; Enterobacterales; Enterobacteriaceae.